This is a long non-coding RNA of Sinocyclocheilus anshuiensis, 461 nucleotides long. RefSeq lists it as uncharacterized. The transcript is spliced from 4 exons. Lineage: Eukaryota; Metazoa; Chordata; Actinopteri; Cypriniformes; Cyprinidae. The record is from RefSeq and is a predicted model, not a curated record.
GGGAGGGGAACCAAAAGCUAGCUUGGUACAGGUGAUUGACGCCGACGCAUCGAGGAGCAUCGGUUUCAGUGAAAGUUUUAUAUGCAUGGAUUUCAUCUCAAGUUGAAGCUCAUUUACAGGUGAAGCAUGUCCUGUCCCAGGCUGAGAACAUAGAGAUGGCACACCUGCUUGUCAAGAUUCUAAUGUCCCACUUCCAGGAACAUGAAGAUGGACUGGUUUUGCAUGCAGACGUUGCUGCAUCUGCAUCUGAUGUUGAGAAGACACUCAAUCUGCCUGCCAGUCCUCGUCUGAUUUUGCUGGGUAUGGCAGAGCCGGCAAAUGCUGUAUGGUAGAUAAGCCUAGAGGGCUGUGUUAUUUGUGACUGUGUCCAGUCAACAUUUUUGACUGCAGUUGCAACAGUGUUUGCUGUGUACUACAUCUUCAACCUGCAGUAUCAAGAGGAGGCUUGUUGCACGUUAGAA